Molecule: non-coding RNA, 968 nt
Organism: Pelobates cultripes (western spadefoot toad)
Lineage: Eukaryota; Metazoa; Chordata; Amphibia; Anura; Pelobatidae
Source: the annotation of a GenBank genome assembly
CCGUUUAUAUAUGUAUUCAUGUCAGUCGAACUUGGUCGGGUUUAUAAAGGCAGUUGGCCAAUGUUGAAAUAAAAGGUUUAAAACUUUAAUAAUAUGCAUAUAAAAAUUUAUUGGGCGUAUUUGGUUAGUCUAGGUAUGUUGAAUAUAUUGCGUAUUCUGAAAGAGUGCACAUUAAAAUGAAGAACUUGGAUUGUGGGAGAACAACGUUAAAAAAAUAUAUAUUUAGCUUUUUUAUGUCUCUGUUGUGUUCUACAUAGCUUGAGAAGCUGUGUUUUGAAACUCUUUAAAGACUAUUUGUUUUAUAACAUCACAAUGGUGAUUUGAGCUCUGUUACACAGAUGUGUCUACUGGUAAAAGAACAUGACCGCAAAGCUUCCAUGCUGAGGGAACAUGAAAUCAGAGAAGCUUGAUGUCUAGUCUAUAUAUCACUGUUGAAACUCUAAUUCUACAUUCUAAUAAGGGAAAAGGACAAGUAACAUACGUGGUUCUCUGAUAAUUUUAUAUUAAGAAACAUACAACAAUCUGAUGUAAACUAAAAGCACCUGCUAAACAUAAAAAAUAUUAAAGUGUGCUUGUGAUAAACAAAUAUUUUUAGAUGCCAUGUUUGAUGAAAGGAUAUUAGAAUAUUUAUUCAAGUGGUACUUUUGCAUAUAAAAUUUUAUUGAGGGUUAUGUAUGUUCAGAUGUUCUCCAACUGUUUUCCUUUAUAGUAAUGGGGUGAGUCACCCAGUAAGGUAGAAAACCAAAAAGAGAUUUAGCUUUUUUCAAAACAUGUGGGCAAAACCUGAGUCAAGUCAGUUUAGCAUUCGCUAUUCUGCUGUGUAGUAUCUUGGUCCAAAUUACAUAAAAAGCUAAACUUCAAGAGUCAAACCAAUCUAUAAAGAAACCAUAAUCACAUAUGGAUUAUGAAGACAUACAAGUAUAGCAAAGGGUUGGGUAACAUCUUUUAAACGUCAAUGUUGUAACGAC